GUAAUAAAUUCAGCCUACUUCACCUUAAUAAGUUAAUAAUACUUUUUAAUUAAUUAAAUAAAACAUUUUCAUCAUUUUAGUAAAGGAGAUAGAAAAAUUCAUUAGCGCAAUAUAAAUAGUACUGCAAAGGAAAAAUGAAAUAGAAAUUAAAUAAAUCAUAAAAACAAUAAAAAGCAAAGAUUAAACCUUUUACCUUUUGCAUCAUGGUCUAGUAAGUUUAACCUAACAUAAAGAACUUAAGUUAGACACCCCGAAACUAAAUGAGCUACUACGAAGCAGCAAAACGAGCCAACCCUUCUCUGUGGCAAAAGAGUGGGAAGACUUCCUAGUAGUGGUGACAAACCUAACGAGUUUAGUAAUAGCUGGUUACUUAAUAAAUGAACUUAAAUUCAACUUAAAAUAUUUUUAAACAAAUAAAGUAAAAAAUAAUAUUUUAAAGUUAAUUAAUAGAGGUUCAGCUCUAUUAAUAAAGGAUACAACCUAAAAUAAUGAAUAAUGAUUAUAUUAAUAAAAGAAAUUAAUUAUGUGGGCCUAAAAGCAGCAAUCAAGAAUAAAAGCGUUAUAGCUUAAUUUAAUAAAUCUUAUUAUAACAAUAAAAUAAUCUUAAUUCAUUAAAACUAUUAAGUCAAUCUAUUUAAAUAGAUGUGAUUAUACUAGAAUGAGUAACAAGAAAACAUUCUCUUAGUGUAAGUGUAAAUCAGAACGAAUAUUUCACUGAUAAUUAACGAACCUUUUGAGGGAAAAAUAAUAUUUUACAAGAAAAACCUAUUUAACCUAUCGUUAACCCAACACAGGAGCACACUAGAAAGAUUAAAAAUAUAGGAAGGAACUCGGCAAACAUGAACUUCGCCUGUUUACCAAAAACAUCGCCUCUUGCAAUUUAGGUAUAAGAGGUCCUGCCUGCCCAGUGACAUUAAGUUUAACGGCCGCGGUAUUAUGACCGUGCAAAGGUAGCGUAAUCACUUGUCUUUUAAAUAGAGACCAGUAUGAAUGGCAAGACGAAAGUUCAACUGUCUCCCUAAAUUAAUCAGUGAAAUUGAUCUUUCCGUGCAGAAACGGAAAUAUAAUUAUAAGACGAGAAGACCCUAUGGAGCUUUAAACAUAUAAUCAAUUGUAAAACAUAAGAUCCGAAAGACUAAAUAUAAAAUAAAACAAUAUGAUUAAAAUUUUAGGUUGGGGCGACCACGGAGAAAAACAAAACCUCCGAGAUGAAGAGAAUAUCUUAAUUCAAGAACUACAAUUCUAAAAAAUAAAAUAUUUAACAUAAUUGAUCCAAUAUUUUGAUCAACGAACCAAGUUACCCUAGGGAUAACAGCGCAAUCCUCUCCAAGAGUCCCUAUCGACGAGUGGGUUUACGACCUCGAUGUUGGAUCAGGACACCCCAAUGGUGCAGCCGCUAUUAAAGGUUCGUUUGUUCAACGAUUAAAGUCCUACGUGAUCUGAGUUCAGACCGGAGUAAUCCAGGUCAGUUUCUAUCUAUAAAAAAUUUUUUCUAGUACGAAAGGGCCGAAAAAAUGGGGCCAAUAUAAAAAUAAGCCCCACCUUACCCUAUUGAAAACAAUUUAAAUAGAUUUAGGUAAAUUAAUAUACCCAAGAUAAGGGUUA
RNAcentral lists this ribosomal RNA (1605 nucleotides) under Hynobius yiwuensis. RNAcentral describes it as "16S ribosomal RNA". It matches the Rfam family "Bacterial large subunit ribosomal RNA", at positions 385 to 2925 of the family's 2925-position model. The record is from RNAcentral. Lineage: Eukaryota; Metazoa; Chordata; Amphibia; Caudata; Hynobiidae.